CAGACCCCCAAAGAGAUCCCUAUUCCCUUUAAUCUAUUUUCACCCCUUUAUUUUAGUCAGAAGACUUAACAGAGGCAAAAAAAUAAAAUAAAAAAUGGAGCCUUUUGUUCUUGAUGGAAUCAUUAAUAGGUUGCUUGAAGUUGGGGGAAACCAGGAUCAGCUUUCCGAGGCUGAAAUUAGGCAACUUUGCGUCACUCCGAGGGAAUUUUCCUGAAGCAGCCCAAUCUUCUAGAGCUUGAAGCUCCUAUCAAGAUUUGUAGUAAAUAUCCUUUUAUAAAACCCCAUUAUUUUUCUCCCAGCCAUAUUUAUAAUGUCAAUUGAAUUUUUCAUGUUAGGACAGUCAAAGCAGAUUGUCACGUCUAAGUGGAUUUGUUAUGUAUAUAUUGAUUGGAAUUUGAAUUGGUUAGUGAUCAAGGCUCAUGGGAAACUGCCAAAACUCUGUUCUUUAUGGGGAAUGUGAUGACAUUUUUUGACAUUGGUUUUGAGACGUGGAUAAAAGCGAUUAUGAAAUAAGCAGGCAGUUUGACAAUGCUGGUGCCAUGAUGACCAUGGAUGAGAAUCCACAAUGUUCUUUCCAAAUACUGAGACCUGCAGCGAAGAAGCCAAAAUUUGGUGUUGGGAGCACUGUUACAGCUAAGAGGGGCACCAUUCCAC
Molecule: long non-coding RNA, 654 nt
Organism: Populus euphratica (Euphrates poplar)
Lineage: Eukaryota; Viridiplantae; Streptophyta; Magnoliopsida; Malpighiales; Salicaceae
Exons: 2
Source: RefSeq, a predicted model, not a curated record